AGUGAACGCUGGCGGUAGGCCUAACACAUGCAAGUCGAACGGCAGCACAGUAAGAGCUUGUUCUUACGGGUGGCGAGUGGCGGACGGGUGAGGAAUACAUCGGAAUCUACUUUUUCGUGGGGGAUAACGUAGGGAAACUUACGCUAAUACCGCAUACGACCUACGGGUGAAAGCAGGGGAUCUUCGGACCUUGCGCGAUUGAAUGAGCCGAUGUCGGAUUAGCUGGUUGGCGGGGUAAUGGCCCACCAAGGCGACGAUCCGUAGCUGGUCUGAGAGGAUGAUCAGCCACACUGGAACUGAGACACGGUCCAGACUCCUACGGGAGGCAGCAGUGGGGAAUAUUGGACAAUGGGCGCAAGCCUGAUCCAGCCAUACCGCGUGGGUGAAGAAGGCCUUCGGGUUGUAAAGCCCUUUUGUUGGGAAAGAAAAGCAGCAGGUUAAUACCCCGCUGUUCUGACGGUACCCAAAGAAUAAGCACCGGCUAACUUCGUG
Molecule: ribosomal RNA, 492 nt
Filed under: uncultured bacterium
Lineage: Bacteria
Description: partial 16S ribosomal RNA
Rfam family: Bacterial small subunit ribosomal RNA
Source: RNAcentral